This 850-nucleotide ribosomal RNA is filed under the name Halobacillus salinus. RNAcentral's name for it is "bacterial SSU rRNA". It matches the Rfam family "Bacterial small subunit ribosomal RNA", at positions 46 to 860 of the family's 1533-position model. Lineage: Bacteria; Bacillati; Bacillota; Bacilli; Caryophanales; Bacillaceae. The record is from RNAcentral.
GCAUUUUGUCAUGCAGUCGAGCGCAGGAAGCGAGCUGAUCCCCUUCGGGGGUGACGCUCGUGGAAUGAGCGGCGGACGGGUGAGUAACACGUGGGCAACCUGCCUGUAAGAUCGGAAUAACUCCGGGAAACCGGAGCUAAUGCCGGGUAACAUGUUCCUUCGCAUGAAGGAACAUUAAAAGAUGGCUUCUCGCUAUCACUUACAGAUGGGCCCGCGGCGCAUUAGCUAGUUGGUGAGGUAACGGCUCACCAAGGCAACGAUGCGUAGCCGACCUGAGAGGGUGAUCGGCCACACUGGGACUGAGACACGGCCCAGACUCCUACGGGAGGCAGCAGUAGGGAAUCUUCCGCAAUGGACGAAAGUCUGACGGAGCAACGCCGCGUGAACGAUGAAGGUCUUCGGAUCGUAAAGUUCUGUUGUUAGGGAAGAACAAGUACCGUGCGAAUAGAGCGGUACCUUGACGGUACCUAACGAGGAAGCCCCGGCUAACUACGUGCCAGCAGCCGCGGUAAUACGUAGGGGGCAAGCGUUGUCCGGAAUUAUUGGGCGUAAAGCGCGCGCAGGCGGUUCCUUAAGUCUGAUGUGAAAGGCCACGGCUCAACCGUGGAGGGCCAUUGGAAACUGGGGAACUUGAGGACAGAAGAGGAGAGUGGAAUUCCACGUGUAGCGGUGAAAUGCGUAGAUAUGUGGAGGAACACCAGUGGCGAAGGCGACUCUCUGGUCUGUUUCUGACGCUGAGGUGCGAAAGCGUGGGUAGCAAACAGGAUUAGAUACCCUGGUAGUCCACGCCGUAAACGAUGAGUGCUAGGUGUUAGGGGGCUUCCACCCCUUAGUGCUGAAGUUAACGCAU